This is a long non-coding RNA of Neodiprion fabricii, 290 nucleotides long. RefSeq lists it as uncharacterized. The transcript has 3 exons. NCBI's taxonomy places the organism in Eukaryota, Metazoa, Arthropoda, Insecta, Hymenoptera, Diprionidae. The record is from RefSeq and is a predicted model, not a curated record.
CACAAAUUCGAAGAUCUUCUGCUGAACAAAACUCAUCGAUUCAAAUUAGCAGCCUGCAGCGAUUACAAAACGCAAUGCGGUAAUUGGAGCGAGGAAAAAGAAGCUUUUACGUACAUCACAAGUAUGGAUUCCAGAAGUGGGAUACAAGAUGAAACAUGGCUGAUUACGGGAGCAAUUGCUACUCUACUUGUCAUCGUCGUUGCAACGAUAGCGGCUUGGAACUUUCGCAAAAAGGCAUUGAAACGAAAGUUGAUCAAAGCAAGACUAGAGUACUUCAAUUUCGGGGCCCC